GAUGAACGCUGGCGGCGUGCCUAAUACAUGCAAGUCGAGCGAACAGACGAGGAGCUUGCUCCUCUGACGUUAGCGGCGGACGGGUGAGUAACACGUGGAUAACCUACCUAUAAGACUGGGAUAACUUCGGGAAACCGGAGCUAAUACCGGAUAAUAUAUUGAACCGCAUGGUUCAAUAGUUAAAGACGGUUUUGCUGUCACUUAUAGAUGAUUCCGCGCCGCAUUAGCUAGUUGGUAAGGUAACGGCUUACCAAGGCAACGAUGCGUAGCCGACCUGAGAGGGUGAUCGGCCACACUGGAACUGAGACACGGUCCAGACUCCUACGGGAGGCAGCAGUAGGGAAUCUUCCGCAAAGGGCGAAAGCCUGACGGAGCAACGCCGCGUGAGUGAUGAAGGUCUUCGGAUCGUAAAACUCUGUUAUUAGGGAAGAACAAAUGUGUAAGUAACUAUGCACGUCUUGACGGUACCUAAUCAGAAAGCCACGGCUAACUACGUG
This 497-nucleotide ribosomal RNA is filed under the name uncultured bacterium. Its description in RNAcentral is "partial 16S ribosomal RNA". It matches the Rfam family "Bacterial small subunit ribosomal RNA", at positions 28 to 507 of the family's 1533-position model. The record is from RNAcentral.